GAUGAACGCUGGCGGCGUGCCUAAUACAUGCAAGUCGAGCGAACAGACGCGGAGCUUGCUCCUCUGACGUUAGCGGCGGACGGGUGAGUAACACGUGGAUAACCUACCUAUAAGACUGGGAUAACUUCGGGAAACCGGAGCUAAUACCGGAUAAUAUAUUGAACCGCAUGGUUCAAUAGUGAAAGACGGUUUUGCUGUCACUUAUAGAUGGAUCCGCGCCGCAUUAGCUAGUUGGUAAGGUAACGGCUUACCAAGGCAACGAUGCGUAGCCGACCUGAGAGGGGGAACGGCCACACUGGAACUGAGACACCGUACAGACUCCGACGGGAGGCAGCAGUAGGGAAGCGUCCGCGAUGGGCGAAAGACUGACGGAGCAACGCCGCGUGAGUGAUGAAGGUCUUCGGAUCGUAAAACUCUGUUAUUAGUGAAGAACAAAUGUGUAAGUAACUAUGCACGUCGUGACGGUACCUAAUCAGAAAGCCACGGCUAACUACGUG
This 497-nucleotide ribosomal RNA is filed under the name uncultured bacterium. RNAcentral's name for it is "partial 16S ribosomal RNA". It matches the Rfam family "Bacterial small subunit ribosomal RNA", at positions 28 to 507 of the family's 1533-position model. The record is from RNAcentral.